Neurospora crassa OR74A is the source of this 962-nucleotide non-coding RNA. NCBI's taxonomy places the organism in Eukaryota, Fungi, Ascomycota, Sordariomycetes, Sordariales, Sordariaceae. The record is from RefSeq and is a predicted model, not a curated record.
CCCACAUCUUCACCCCAUAUUCAACGCUUGCUUUUUUGCAGACUUGAAGGUUUUACCUACUUUUUCCAUCGUCCGUCUUCAAAGGGGUUCCUCUCUUGAUCAAGGGAUCCCGUCACGCUCAUGUCGUUAUUGGCUGCCCCUGACAUGACAUGAUCCACCAAACGGGCAGCAAGGCGGCUCAAGAAUGGACCUGGAAUGGACACUUCAUGACUCCAAGACCUCACCCAAGACUGGCCGCACCACAAGCUUGCCGUCCUGCCGUCGCCAGGCAUGGAAGUGGAAGCUGGGGAGGGUUUUGGCAUCAGCCUGUAACAAGCAGAUGGGUCAAUCUGGAUCCAAGUUGGCCAAUCACCGGCCAGACCACGGCUUGUCACAGGCUGUCAAUUGGCCGCUGUCAAGGGUGUCGGUGUCCACUUGAGCAUGUCAGCAUGUCCCACCACAUUCCAUUCGCAUGCUGAAAAAGGGCCAUUUGGCUCGCGUCUAUAGACAGAAAUACGAGAGUUCGAUGCCCUUUGACGAUUUCGUACAUGAAGAUCCGACUCAGAUCGCGAUGCAACAAGCCUCUUCACUGUUCAGGUACCAAUACAAGGUUACAUAUGCAUACCUAUGUACGAGACUGAACUUUUACAAGACCUUCCAUCGGCUGCCUCCCUUUUAAGUGGUCGAGAGCCGAUCCCCGUCAAGUUCGGGCUUAAGGGCCCUCCGGAUCUCCAUGUCCAUCGCGACGGACUCAAGCGCUGCGUAGCGGAUUGGGGGCGCUAGGGGCGGGCAGAAGAUAUACAUUUCCGCCAGCUCCUCAGUGACAACCCUCGAGUAACUUCGAAACGACUUUGCGAAGUCGAAGUACAGGUUGGUAAAGAUUUACCAACAGAAUCUCAUUUUUCUGUCGAAGUGGUAUUUCAGCUAGCCGCUGGUUAAUCUACCCCUACCUCGACUUGGAAUGCUAUGCAUUGAGAAAAAGA